Molecule: ribosomal RNA, 571 nt
Rfam family: 5.8S ribosomal RNA (bases 202-355)
UCCGUAGGUGAACCUGCGGAGGGAUCAUUACAGAGUUGCAAAACUCCCAAACCAUUGUGAACGUUACCUUCAAACCGUUGCUUCGGCGGGCGGCCCGGGUCCGCCCGGUGCCCCCUGGCCCCCUCGCGGGGCGCCCGCCGGAGGAAACCCAACUCUUGAUACAUUAUGGCCUCUCUGAGUCUUCUGUACUGAAUAAGUCAAAACUUUCAACAACGGAUCUCUUGGUUCUGGCAUCGAUGAAGAACGCAGCGAAAUGCGAUAAGUAAUGUGAAUUGCAGAAUUCAGUGAAUCAUCGAAUCUUUGAACGCACAUUGCGCCCGCCAGUAUUCUGGCGGGCAUGCCUGUUCGAGCGUCAUUUCAACCAUCAAGCCCCAGGCUUGUGUUGGGGACCUGCGGCUGCCGCAGGCCCUGAAAACCAGUGGCGGGCUCGCUGUCACACCGGGCGUAGUAGAUUUUAUCUCGCUCAGGGCGUGCUGCGGGUUCCGGCCGUUAAAAAGCCUUUUUUACCCAAGGUUGACCUCGGAUCAGGUAGGAAGACCCGCUGAACUUAAGCAUAUCAAUAAGCGGAGGA